Molecule: ribosomal RNA, 300 nt
Filed under: uncultured Thermovibrio sp.
Lineage: Bacteria; Pseudomonadati; Aquificota; Aquificia; Desulfurobacteriales; Desulfurobacteriaceae
Description: bacterial SSU rRNA
Rfam family: Bacterial small subunit ribosomal RNA
Source: RNAcentral
GGUACCUCCGGGCCAGCAGGCGCGGAAAGACGGAGGGUGCAAACGUUGCUCGGAAGCAGUGGGCGUAAAGCGCACGUAGUCUGCCUGAUAAGUCGGGUGGGAAAGCCCUGGGCUCAACCCAGGAAGUGCACUCGAAACUGUCGGGCUUGAAUAUGGAAGAGGGUCGCGGAAUUCCCGGUGUAGAGGUGAAAUUCGUAGAUAUCGGGAGGAACACCAGUGGCGAAGGCGGCGACCUGGGCCAAUAUUGACGCUGAGGUGCGAAAGCGUGGGGAGCAAACAGGAUUAGAUACCCGGGUAGUC